GCGGGCGUGGUGAAAUUGGUAGACACGCUAGACUUAGGAUCUAGUGCCGUGAGGUGUGAAGGUUCGAGUCCUUUCGCCCGCA
RNAcentral lists this transfer RNA (82 nucleotides) under Flavobacteriaceae bacterium R38. It matches the Rfam family "tRNA". Rfam says of the family: Transfer RNA (tRNA) molecules are approximately 80 nucleotides in length. Their secondary structure includes four short double-helical elements and three loops (D, anti-codon, and T loops). The record is from Rfam by way of RNAcentral. Lineage: Bacteria; Pseudomonadati; Bacteroidota; Flavobacteriia; Flavobacteriales; Flavobacteriaceae. RNAcentral also lists the same sequence under 1 other name.